AAAAGGGUUUUCCGUAGGUGACCUGCGGAAGGACAUUA
This 38-nucleotide ribosomal RNA is filed under the name Penicillium adametzii. RNAcentral describes it as "partial 18S ribosomal RNA". The record is from RNAcentral. Lineage: Eukaryota; Fungi; Ascomycota; Eurotiomycetes; Eurotiales; Aspergillaceae.